AGCAGUAUGGUCUUGAUGGUAUUGACAUCGAUUAUGAGCAUUUCAACGGGGACCCUAAUACGUUUGCUGAGUGUAUCGGGCAGCUGGUGACGACGCUGAAGAAGAACGGCGUGGUGUCGUUUGCGUCCAUUGCCCCGUUCGAUGAUGAUCAGGUGCAGAGUCACUACUUGGCGCUAUGGAAGAAGUACGGACAGCAGAUAGACUAUGUGAACUUCCAGUUCUAUGCUUACUCUUCAGGGACGACGGUGUCACAGUUUCUCAAUUACUUUCAGACCCAGAGCUCUAAUUACGCAGGCG
This 297-nucleotide unclassified non-coding RNA is filed under the name Hevea brasiliensis (rubber tree). The record is from RNAcentral. Lineage: Eukaryota; Viridiplantae; Streptophyta; Magnoliopsida; Malpighiales; Euphorbiaceae.